CAGUAGCCGCGGGAACACGUAGGUGGCAAGCGUUGUCCGGAAUUAUUGGGCGUAAAGGGCUCGCAGGCGGUUUCUUAAGUCUGAUGUGAAAGCCCCCGGCUCAACCGGGGAGGGUCAUUGGAAACUGGGAAACUUGAGUGCAGAAGAGGAGAGUGGAGUUCCACGUGUAGCGGUGAAAUGCGUAGAGAUGUGGAGGAACACCAGUGGCGAAGGCGACUCUCUGGUCUGUAACUGACGCUGAGGAGCGAAAGCGUGGGGAGCGAACAGGAUUAGAUACCCCCGUAGUCCUGUCUCUUAUACA
Molecule: ribosomal RNA, 301 nt
Filed under: uncultured bacterium
Lineage: Bacteria
Description: partial 16S ribosomal RNA
Rfam family: Bacterial small subunit ribosomal RNA
Source: RNAcentral